GACGAACGCUGGCGGCGUGCCUAAUACAUGCAAGUAGAACGCACAGUUUAUACCGUAGCUUGCUACACCAUAGACUGUGAGUUGCGAAUGGGUGAGUAACGCGUAGGUAACCUGCCUGGUAGCGGGGGAUAACUAUUGGAAACGAUAGCUAAUACCGCAUAAUAUUAAUUAUUGCAUGAUAAUUAAUUGAAAGGUGCAAUUGCACCACUACCAGAUGGACCUGCGUUGUAUUAGCUAGUAGGUGAGGUAACGGCUCACCUAGGCGACGAUACAUAGCCGACCUGAGAGGGUGAUCGGCCACACUGGGACUGAGACACGGCCCAGACUCCUACGGGAGGCAGCAGUAGGGAAUCUUCGGCAAUGGACGAAAGUCUGACCGAGCAACGCCGCGUGAGUGAAGAAGGUUUUCGGAUCGUAAAGCUCUGUUGUAAGAGAAGAACGGGUGUGAGAGUGGAAAGUUCACACUGUGACGGUAUCUUACCAGAAAGGGACGGCUAACUACGUG
RNAcentral lists this ribosomal RNA (505 nucleotides) under uncultured bacterium. Its description in RNAcentral is "partial 16S ribosomal RNA". It matches the Rfam family "Bacterial small subunit ribosomal RNA", at positions 28 to 507 of the family's 1533-position model. The record is from RNAcentral.